AAUGAAUAUUACGGGAGCUCGCAGACGGGCUGAGAGGAAACUAUGCGUUUCGACCGCACCUGAUUUGGAUAAUGCCAACGUAGGGAAGAUUUUAGACUGUGAUG
This 104-nucleotide non-coding RNA is filed under the name Pseudoselenomonas ruminantium. RNAcentral's name for it is "Selenomonas ruminantium TPP sequence". It matches the Rfam family "TPP riboswitch aptamer (THI element)". Rfam says of the family: Vitamin B(1) in its active form thiamin pyrophosphate (TPP) is an essential coenzyme that is synthesised by coupling of pyrimidine and thiazole moieties in bacteria. The previously detected thiamin-regulatory element, thi box was extended, resulting in a new, highly conserved RNA secondary structure, the THI element, which is widely distributed in eubacteria and also occurs in some archaea. The record is from RNAcentral. Lineage: Bacteria; Bacillati; Bacillota; Negativicutes; Selenomonadales; Selenomonadaceae.